AGUAAGCCGGACGGUCGCGGCCGCAUAUGCGGGUGAGGAAAGUCCGGGCUUCACAGAGCGGGAUACCGGCUAACGGCCGGCGGAGGCGACUCCAGGGACAGUGCAACAGAAAAUAAACGCUUUCCUUUUUGGGAGAGUAAGUGUGGAAAUGUGCGGUAAGAGCGCACAGGAAAGAUGGUAACUGAAUUUCCGUGUAAACCCUAUCCGAAGCAACUUUGGGAAUGUUAAGCCUGCUCGGCAUUUUCCCUAUAUAAGGCUUGAACGUGUCGGUAACGACACGGUUAGAUAGAUGAUCGUCCAAGACAGAACCCGGCUUACAGGCUUGCUCAU
Molecule: RNase P RNA, 330 nt
Filed under: human gut metagenome
Description: Bacterial RNase P class A
Rfam family: Bacterial RNase P class A
About the family: Ribonuclease P (RNase P) is a ubiquitous endoribonuclease, found in archaea, bacteria and eukarya as well as chloroplasts and mitochondria. Its best characterised activity is the generation of mature 5'-ends of tRNAs by cleaving the 5'-leader elements of precursor-tRNAs. Cellular RNase Ps are ribonucleoproteins.
Source: RNAcentral